AGAGUUUGAUCCUGGCUCAGGAUGAACGCUGGCGGCGUGCCUAACACAUGCAAGUCGAACGAAGCGCUUAGACAGAUUUCUUCGGAUUGAAGUUUAAGUGACUGAGUGGCGGACGGGUGAGUAACGCGUGGGUAACCUGCCUCAUACAGGGGGAUAACAGUUAGAAAUGGCUGCUAAUACCGCAUAAGACCACAGGAUCGCAUGAUCCGGUGGGAAAAACUCCGGUGGUAUGAGAUGGACCCGCGUCUGAUUAGCUAGUUGGUGGGGUAACGGCCUACCAAGGCGACGAUCAGUAGCCGACCUGAGAGGGUGACCGGCCACAUUGGGACUGAGACACGGCCCAAACUCCUACGGGAGGCAGCAGUGGGGAAUAUUGCACAAUGGGGGAAACCCUGAUGCAGCGACGCCGCGUGAGCGAAGAAGUAUUUCGGUAUGUAAAGCUCUAUCAGCAGGGAAGAAAAUGACGGUACCUGACUAAGAAGCACCGGCUAAAUACGUGCCAGCAGCCGCGGUAAUACGUAUGGUGCAAGCGUUAUCCGGAUUUACUGGGCGUAAAGGGAGCGUAGACGGCUGUGUAAGUCUGGAGUGAAAACCCGGGGCUCAACCCCCGGGACUGCUUUGGAAACUAUGCAGCUAGAGUGUCGGAGAAGGCAAGUGGAAUUCCCCAGUGUAGCCGGUGAAAUGGGUUGAUAUUAGGAGGAACACCAGUGGCGAAGGCGACUUGCUGGGCCGUAACUGACGCUGAGGCGCGAAAAGCGUGGGGGAGCAAAACAGGAUUAGAUACCCUGGUAGUCCACGCCGUAAACGAUGAGUACUAGGUGUUGGGGGUUUCGAUACCUUCGGUGCCGCAGUUAACACAAUAAGUACUCCGCCUGGGGAGUACGGUCGCAAGACUGAAACUCAAAGGAAUUGACGGGGGCCCGCACAAGCGGUGGAGCAUGUGGUUUAAUUCGACGCAACGCGAAGAACCUUACCAAGACUUGACAUCCUUCUGACCGAGGACUAAUCACCUCUUUCCCUCCGGGGACAGAAGUGACAGGUGGUGCAUGGUUGUCGUCAGCUCGUGUCGUGAGAUGUUGGGUUAAGUCCCGCAACGAGCGCAACCCUUGUCUUUAGUUGCCAUCAUUUAGUUGGGCACUCUAGGAGACUGCCAGUGAUAAACUGGAGGAAGGUGGGGAUGACGUCAAGUCAUCAUGGCCCUUACGACCAGGGCUACACACGUGCUACAAUGGCGCAUACAAAGAGAAGCGACCUCGCGAGAGCAAGCGGACCUCAUAAAGUGCGUCGUAGUCCGGAUUGGAGUCUGCAACUCGACUCCAUGAAGUCGGAAUCGCUAGUAAUCGUGGAUCAGAAUGCCACGGUGAAUACGUUCCCGGGCCUUGCACACACCGCCCGUCA
Molecule: ribosomal RNA, 1398 nt
Filed under: uncultured bacterium
Lineage: Bacteria
Description: bacterial SSU rRNA
Rfam family: Bacterial small subunit ribosomal RNA
Source: RNAcentral